AAGUCGUAACAAGGUUUCCGUAGGUGAACCUGCGGAAGGAUCAUUACGUAUUUUUAGGCCGGUCUGACCGGUUCUAUUCAACCCUGUUUUUUGCGUACUUUCUUGUUUCCUCGGUAGGCUUGCCUGCCGUUAGGACAUUUUUAACCAUUCAUGUUUUGUACUUCAGCGUCAAAAAAACAAUACAAUUAUAACAACUUUCAACAACGGAUCUCUUGGUUCUG
RNAcentral lists this unclassified non-coding RNA (221 nucleotides) under fungal sp. RNAcentral's name for it is "partial internal transcribed spacer region". The stretch from base 1 to 46 matches the Rfam family "Eukaryotic small subunit ribosomal RNA", at positions 1786 to 1831 of the family's 1831-position model. Lineage: Eukaryota; Fungi. The record is from RNAcentral.